Non-coding RNA from Sesamum indicum (sesame), 3885 nucleotides. NCBI's taxonomy places the organism in Eukaryota, Viridiplantae, Streptophyta, Magnoliopsida, Lamiales, Pedaliaceae. The record is from RefSeq and is a predicted model, not a curated record.
UGCUUUGAUUAAACGUGGAGUAGUUGAGGCAUAAUUUCAUGCAUUUUGAAUUGCUUUGAAAGAGAGUUGGAAUGUCUUCGCUUCUACUAAGUCUUAGGAUUCUUGUGACAUCAUAUUUGUUUACUAAAACCCUACCCGAUUGAUCCUUAUAUCCCUAACAUGGGAUAUGCAUCAUUUUGAAAAAAAAUUCAAAGGCCCUUCCCCUUGGGAAAAAAAAAGAAAGAAUAGCAAAAAAAAAGGAAAUUACAUCUACUCCGCUGGUUUAGGUCACUUAGUAACUGGGUAACUUCAUCACAAAUGUUGUUAUUCACGUAAAACGGUGGCCGGAGCUAUGAGUAUGCAAAGCACUUUAGGUAAAAUGUGUUUUGGUUAAGUAACCGGGUGCCUUCAUCACAAGUGUUGUCAUUCGCGUCAAAAGGCCAGAAUAAGACGUUUUUUGGUUGAGUAACCGGGUGCCUGCACCACAAGUGUUGUCAUUCGCGUCAAAAGACCGAAAGACGGCCUAAAGAACACAAGUCACGGGAAGAAAUGAAGGAAAAAAAAAGAGAAAAGAGCCGUGACAAAAUACAAGGGGAAGAAAAAAGAAAAAAUUCAUUAUUGGCCCAAAGAAAAGAAAGAAAAGCGAAAUCCGUCCCUACUUAGGUAGAUAUAAGGAGAUAAAGGGUAUUGUGCUAGCAUCGAGGAUGAUAACAUUUAGAAACCUGUAGAUUUUGUGGAAGCUUGAUUGUCCUGCUCUCUACCUGGGAAAACAAAGUGCGGUGAUGUGAUUGGCCUCUUACCCUCGUUAUGAUAAGUUAGCAUUUGUAUAACGUAUUGCUGCAUUGUGUUUUGAGAUUAUGUGCACAUAAUAUUUCGUUUUGUUUGGGGGGCUAUAACUUUAAAGACGUUACAACAAUCCUUUCUUUCUUUUUUGAUUUAUUAAAAAAAUUGUCACAUUUAUUUCUUGGUGCUAUAUGAAAUUUUUUCUGUAUAAAAAUCAUUUAUUUAGAGAAUGCCUUUUCUUAUGUGACUAUUAUUUUUGGUUAGUAGGAGAUAGAUUUUUGCCUUGAUAUUAUUUUACCAAUAUAACUGAAAAUAAUUAUUGUAACGACAUUUAAAUUUUAUAUUAUUAUAGUUCUCUUUAUUUAUAUGAAUUAUUUCUUUUAGAUUGCCAUCUCAGCAGGUUCAAGAUCAGUAUACAGCGGUGAUGCUUCUUACAUGGGCUCCCCCACCUACCCCCACCCCCACCCCCCAACUGUAAAACUUAGAAGGAAAAUGUACAGGUUGUGCUUGAAUAUAAAGAGUUAAAGAAAUCUUUCAUGCUGGAUAUAGAGAAGUAUCAUAACUUUUUAACUUUACUGACCCAUGAAUACAGUUUAUCCAGGUAUAUGAGGUCGUGAAUCAUUGUUAACUAACAAUUGAAAAUAAAAUCAGAUUCCUUUUUUGUCUUUCAUUUUUCUUUUAACUCUUCUAAUGAAGUUCAUGAGAUAAUUUUAUUUCAGUUACAUUUGUACACUUAGUGAGAAGACCAUGGUGAUGUCGCGGGAAGUGCUUCUUAGUGUUGGUGUUCCAUGGUGCAGCAAUACAUCCGCCAUCUAGAGGCUCAACUUCAGGAAGAGAUGUCACGGCAUGCUCCUCUAUAUGGUGCUGGGCUGGAAGCUUUGUCAAUGAAGGAGCUCGAGACGAUAUCACGUAUCCAUGAAGAAGGGCUGAGGCAGAUACAUGCGAUACAACAGCGUAAAGGAAGUCCAGCUGGGAGUCCAUUUGUAAGUUCCACAACCUACCUGACACACAUGGGUUGUAUCCACCUACUCCGCCUCCAAUGGCUGUUGGAUUGCCUCCUCCGCUUAUCCCAAAUGGUGUUGGGAUCCAUAGAAAUGGGCAUGUUAAUGGUGGUGCCAGCCCCUGGUUCAAUCGUUAGAACGAUGUCCCUGAUGUGAGCUGAUAUUGUCUUCGAGUUUGUGACACUCACUAAUCUCUUUGAUCAGGAUUCUGGAUUUCUAGUCCAGGAUACUGUUAUCUUCUCUGCUGAGGUUCUUAUAUUGAAAGAAACUUCCAUAAUGCAGGACUUCACUGAUCAAGAAACUGACUCAGGAACUGCCUGUUCUCAGUCGGAUGGAAUUGGGAAGAGGAGCUCAUUCACCUGGAAAGUGGAAUUUCUUGUCCUUCAAGGAAAUAAUGGAAACUAGAAAAUUUUUUCGCAAAUUCUUUCAAGCUGGUGGAUGUGAGCUUCGGAUUGGAGUGUAUGAGUCUUUUGACACCAUAUGUAUAUAUUUGGAGAGUGAUCAGUCAGUUGGCAGUGAUCCCGAGAAGACCUGGAACAAUUCUGUUAUUCAGUUUAUGAAGGUAUCUGACAUGUUGGAAGCUGAUGCAGGAUUUCUGCUGCGAGACACAGUUGUAUUUGUUUGUGAGAUCUUGGACUACUGUCCAUGGUUCGAGUUUUCAGACCUGGAGGUUUUAGCUUCUGAAGAUGAUCAAGACGGCCUGACAACUGACCCUGACGAACUCAUUUAUUCUGAUGACAGUGAAGAUCUAAGUGGAGAUGAAAAAGACAUCUUCAGAAAUCUUCUAUCUGGGGCCGGGUUUCACCUUACUUAUGAGGACAAGAACAUAUAGUAAAAACUGGCUGCGGUUCUGUCUCUGUUGCUGUUUUCGGUGAUCAGGAACGAGCUCCAAUUACUUGUCCUGAUUUGGCUUUAAACUGUAAGGGAACUAGAACUGAAUUUUCACCAAGUAUAUCGUCAAUUUUAAUCAAACUUCUUCUGUUUUAUACCUGUGAGGAUUUCGUGGACACUUGUUAGUCUGCUAUCAGCCUUUUUGCACGUUAUCCCAACUUCACCAAAAUUUUAUUAUAUCAUCUUUUCACUAACCCAUUUAAAAGCUCCCUUUUUGUUUUAAAUUUUGUAUUGAACAUAUCUUCAUCAGAAAUAAUUAUCUAGUCUACCUUCUCGAGGCUCAUACUAGUCUUUGAAAAUGUAUUUGUCUCUCUUGAAGCAGUAUCUACUUGCUUAAUUAAUUUUUUUAGCAAUGGCAAUGCAGAUAAGGUAGGCUGGUGGAGCUCAUGGCUCUUGCCUCGCAUGUGCACCCCUUGAUAGCGGCAACCACAGCUCUACAUGGCUGUCAUUUUCUGAUUAUUGUUUGAGAGGUUUGGUAAGAAAAAAACAUAGUCCUUCUGAUAGCCAAUAUCUGCAGAUCAGAUUCGCUGUAUGUGCCAAAGCAUGUGUGCUGGGUCAAACCUCGAAUAUGAUUCUUCAUUUGAUUCGAGCACUGAGCGAAAGAAAGUGAGAGUAUCCUGCAGUUGUUGCUGGCCAGCCCAUGUUCCACUUUCUGGGAGUGCUGAGACGGUAGCAUCCCUGUGAUCCAUGUGAUCAUGGCAGCAGUGGCAAGACAUUCCUAUGGUGGAGGACAAGAUAAGGAUCCAGAUGCUUCGAUCCGUAAAAGGGCCCUCAAGCUUGUUUAUCUUCUAGUAAAUGAAAGCAAUGUGAAGCCUUUGACAAAGGAGCUUGUUGAUUAUCUAGAAGUAAGUGUACCGGAAUUUAAGGGAGACCUCACGGCCAAAAUUUGCUCAAUUGUGGAGAAGUCGAAUGAUCCAUAGUUUGUCUAUAAGGGAAUGAAAACACAGUUGCUGAACUGAGGAUGGUAACCUUCCAGUGACGGUCAAACACGGAUUUACUUUGCAUGGUGAGAACAUCUACAUUCUAAUGUAGCUCUUUUCCAUUCCUACUUCAACCUUAGGAAAGAAACAUGAUUAAUAAACAAACUUGUUUUUUCAUUAAUUUGUGUUCUUUACUAACCAUUCAUUUCGUUUUGCUUACAGCCUAUUGCCAAGAAGCGAAUGAAGUUCAUUCCAUUGGUUACAGCACUCAGUUGUUUUAAAUUUAUGAGAUGAGCUUCUGAUUGAUAAUU